This 1871-nucleotide long non-coding RNA is filed under the name Homo sapiens (human). RNAcentral describes it as "long non-coding RNA NONHSAT151337.1". The record is from RNAcentral. Lineage: Eukaryota; Metazoa; Chordata; Mammalia; Primates; Hominidae.
CUGGGUAAUGGUGAGCCCUGAAGUCGCACCCCAGCUCUGCCACUCAGUGAGCACGGGUAAGUCAUCCACCUCCUCCAGGUGGCCUUGAUGGCCCUCCCUCCUCUGAGACUAAAGAGAGGCCACAAUGCCCAGAGCAGCCUCCUUCCUGUCUCAAGAAAGGAAAGGAUCUCAGGAACCCAUUUCAUGUGGUAGCAGCUUUUAGUUGUGGGUUGUAAACAACCCUCUGUUGCCAGGAAAGUCAAAUUGCAACCAUAAUCACUGAUCCUGAGCAGUAAAUGUGACAUUGGUUAAUUCUUCUGUGAGGGCCUGAACGCUGGUUCCCUGGAAUGUUGCAGACCUUUGGAAUCGGGGCAGUUACACUGUUCUCAUUCACAAGCUUUUCUCUGAGUUGGCCUCUUCUGAGCACUAGAGUUGGUUGCAGAAGUGUCUUUCUACAGUUUGCCAAGCACUUUAUGCAGACAGCAAGAAUUACCGUUUUUUUAGUACUGUCCUAUCAGUGUGUCCUGACUUUUUACCUCAUAAGACCAAGUUGGCUGAAGCAUAGGACAUCACUGAGUGCUUUGAAACAAAGCUGUUUGAUUCCUGUUCACUGAAUGCCAUUUCUUUCAGGGUAGAUUUAAGGACUUUCCCCUUAAAGUACAGUGCUACUGACUCUAGAUUGAGGGUUCAAGCCACCCCGUGGGUUAACUUCAACAGAUGAAAAUUUUUCCUUGGCUACAGCAACAUCCCUAAUCCUGACCAGCCAUGGAGAGGUUCGGUUCUUACAAGGAAAAUGAGUGAAUGUGGGAAUGGCUCACCACAUUGUGAAAACAAAACUCACAUCCUGCUGAUGGUUGGCUGAGGACUGUCAUGUCCACAUACAAAGAAAAGCAUGUGGCACAGUUUUAGGACAAAGAUAUGGUUUUGUGGAGUUUGAUGAUCUGCGUGAUGCAGAUGAUGCUGUUUAUGAACUGAAUGGCAAAGACCUUUGUGGUGAGCGAGUAAUUGUUGAGCAUGCCCGCGGCCCACGGCGAGAUGGCAGUUACGGUUCUGGACGCAGUGGAUAUGGUUAUAGAAGAAGUGGCCGAGAUAAAUAUGGCCCUCCUACUCGCACAGAGUACAGACUUAUUGUGGAGAAUUUGUCAAGUCGGUGCAGCUGGCAAGACCUAAAGGAUUAUAUGCGUCAGGCAGGAGAAGUGACUUAUGCAGAUGCUCACAAGGGACGCAAAAAUGAAGGGGUGAUUGAAUUUGUAUCUUAUUCUGAUAUGAAAAGAGCUUUGGAAAAGUUGGAUGGAACUGAAGUCAAUGGGAGAAAAAUCAGAUUAGUUGAAGACAAGCCAGGUUCCAGACGACGCCGGUCCUACUCCAGAAGCCGGAGUCAUUCAAGGUCGGGCUCCCGCUCCCGGAGCAAGAGCCGGAGCCGGAGCCAGAGUCGGAGCCGGAGCAAGAAAGAGAAAAGCAGGAGCCCCAGCAAGGAAAAGAGCCGCAGCCGCAGCCAUAGCGCUGGCAAGAGCCGCAGCAAGAGCAAAGACCAAGCUGAAGAGAAGAUCCAAAACAAUGACAAUGUCGGGAAACCCAAGAGCCGGAGUCCUAGCAGGCAUAAAAGUAAGAGCAAAAGUCGGAGCAGGAGUCAGGAGAGGAGAGUGGAGGAGGAGAAGCGAGGGAGUGUGAGCAGGGGCAGGAGCCAGGAGAAGAGCCUCCGCCAGAGUCGGAGCCGGAGCAGGAGCAAAGGGGGCAGCAGGAGCCGGAGCAGGAGCCGCAGCAAGAGCAAGGACAAGAGGAAGGGCAGGAAGAGAAGCAGAGAGGAGAGCCGCAGUCGCAGUCGCAGCCGCAGCAAGAGUGAGAGGAGCAGAAAGCGAGGCAGCAAGCGAGACAGCAAGGCGGGCAGCAGC